Bubalus bubalis (water buffalo) is the source of this 1091-nucleotide long non-coding RNA. RefSeq lists it as uncharacterized. The record is from RefSeq and is a predicted model, not a curated record. The transcript has 3 exons. NCBI's taxonomy places the organism in Eukaryota, Metazoa, Chordata, Mammalia, Artiodactyla, Bovidae.
AAUCCCAUGGACAAAGGAGCCUGGCAGGCUACAGUCCAUGGGGUCUCAAAGAGUCAGACACAUUGAAGCAACUUAGCACGAGAGGAAAUGGAGGUUUUCUUCAAGCCAGGGCAGCUGCCCCAGGGGCCCACUCCACCAAGAGCAAAGGACCAAGGCACAGACUCUAAUGAGUGAAUUGAGGGUGUGGUCCUGCCUCCCAGCCAGUACCUCUGGGGCUCCCAUUGAGGGCUGCUCACAGAGGUCCUUCCCUUCCCUUCCAGAGCACUGGGUAAAGGUCACUUCAGUCAGCCCCCUGACUUUAGCCCAUGGCAGAAGCCGAUCAGCUGGGAGACUCUGGCGGGUCUCUCAGAUCCUUCCAGGUGUUUUCUAUCUCAGGCUCUGAGUUCCUGGCUUCAUCCAUCACUUUGAAGCCUCCUUCCCCUCACCCAGGGACCAAAGCAAAUCCGAGGAUUUCUGGGAUCUCAAAGUCUCCCUAUCUGCAUAUUCUUUGGGGCACAUGCAAGGCCCCCACAAAGGCUGGUGAACUUCUGUUUGUGCACCCACGUGAGCAGAUAGACACCCCUCCAGGAUCGCUCCCAUGCUGGUGACCCCGGGGAUGACCACAGGUGCAGACACAGUGAUGCUGCCUAUGUGCACACACCUGGCCACACAGAGCCUCCUCUGCCUUCUCCAUGGAACGGACCCUUCUUGCAUAACUUUAUGAAAGUGUUAAAGGAGGCUCCUGGAUGGAUGUCUCCAAGAAAAAGAGGAAGCGGAAGUGUUGCCUGAUGACCUCAUCUCCUGAGGGAGAAUUUAGGAUGACCUGGAAUGAGAACCCAGAAAGCAGGCAAGCAGAAAACAGGAAAAUGCACAAUGCUGGGAGAAAGAGAAAGACUUUCAAGAAAUAGUUGUAGGGACUUCCCUGGUGGUCCAGUGGUUAAGAAUCCACCUUCCGAUGCAGGGGAUGUGGGUUUGAUCCCUGGUCAGGGAACUAAAAUCCCACAUGCGUUGGAGAAACUGAGCCCACAAGCCUCAACUAGAGAGCCCAUGUGCUGUAAGGAAAGAUCCCACAUAAUAUAAUGACCAGCUGCAUGUCACAACUAAGACCUGAU